RNAcentral lists this long non-coding RNA (377 nucleotides) under Dromaius novaehollandiae (emu). RNAcentral describes it as "lncRNA (ENSDNVG00000017806.1)". The record is from RNAcentral. Lineage: Eukaryota; Metazoa; Chordata; Aves; Casuariiformes; Dromaiidae.
CCAGCCUGCAAGGAGCACAGUAGUGCUUCAGAAGACUCUUCCCUUCUGACUGUUGCUUCUACAAGCUCAGUGGUAAGUACUCAAAAGCCCUUCACAGUACUGAAGCCAGCCUGAACCCUGUAACUCCUGGAACUCAGAGGRUGAAUUUGACCUCUGCAAUCUUCAAGUUGAUGUCCCAGAAUUUAUGUGACUUUUUGAGUGGUGAUGUUCUUCCUGGUGUGGUGUCAUGCAAUGGCUGCCUGUACUAGGCUCAGCUCUUAAGGCUGUUGAUUCAGUGACAUUGCUGCCAAACACAAACAAAAGGAACCAGUAGAAGCCAACCAAAUUAGGAAGCCYUUCAAAGAUGCUCUUGAUUAUUAAUUAAAUUAUUGGAUUAU